UUGACCUCAAAUCAGGUAGGAUUACCCGCUGAACUUAAGCAUAUCAAUAAGCGGAGGAAAAGAAACUAACAAGGAUUCC
RNAcentral lists this ribosomal RNA (79 nucleotides) under Inonotus obliquus. RNAcentral's name for it is "partial 28S ribosomal RNA". It matches the Rfam family "Eukaryotic large subunit ribosomal RNA", at positions 1 to 78 of the family's 3401-position model. The record is from RNAcentral. Lineage: Eukaryota; Fungi; Basidiomycota; Agaricomycetes; Hymenochaetales; Hymenochaetaceae.